CGUUGUUCGGAUUUACUGGGCGUAAAGGGUGCGCAGCCGGCCUUAAAAGUCAGAUGUGAAAUCUUCCGGCUCACCCGGGAAACUGCAUCUGAAACUCUAAGGCUUGAGUAUGUGGGAAGAAAGUGGAAUUCUCGGUGUANCGGUGGAAUGUGUAGAUAUCGAGAAGAACACCAGUGGCGAAGGCGGCUUUCUAUCACACUACUGACGCUCAUGCACGAAAGCUAGGGGAGCAAACGGGAUUAGAUACCCCGGUAGUCCUAGCCGUAAACGAUGUAUACUUGGUGUUAGGAGCAUCGACCCUUCUAGCGCCGAAGCUAACGCGUUAAGUAUACCGCCUGGGGAGUACGGCCGCAAGGCUAAAACUCAAAGAAAUUGACGGGGGCCCGCACAAGCGGUGGAGCAUGUGGUUUAAUACGACGCAACGCGUAGAACCUUACCAGGGCUUGACAUGUAUGUGACAGUCUAUGAAAGUAGAUCUUCCUUCGGGACAGAUACACAGGUGUUGCAUGGCUGUCGUCAGCUCGUGUCGUGAGAUGUUGGGUUAAGUCCCGCAACGAGCGCAACCCAUGUCCUUAGUUGCCAGCACGUAAUGGUGGGAACUCUAGGGAGACUGCCUCGGUCAACGGGGAGGAAGGUGUGGAUGACGUCAAGUCAGUACGGCCCUUACGCCCUGGGCUACACACGUGCUACAAUGGUCGGUACAAAGAGUCGCAAGACCGCAAGGUGGAGCUAAUCUCAAAAAGCCGAUCUCAGUUCGGAUUGGAGUCUGCAAUUCGACUCCAUGAAGCUGGAAUCGCUAGUAAUGGCGCAUCAGCUACGGCGCCGUGAAUACGUUCCCGGGCCUUGUACACACCGCCCGUCACAUCACCCGAGCUGGGUGCACCCGAAGUCGCUGUACCAACCCAUUUUGGGAGGAAGGCGCCGAAGGUGUGCUUGCAACGGAGGAUGAAGUCGU
RNAcentral lists this ribosomal RNA (955 nucleotides) under uncultured organism. RNAcentral describes it as "bacterial SSU rRNA". It matches the Rfam family "Bacterial small subunit ribosomal RNA", at positions 539 to 1489 of the family's 1533-position model. The record is from RNAcentral.